RNAcentral lists this ribosomal RNA (468 nucleotides) under uncultured bacterium. RNAcentral's name for it is "partial 16S ribosomal RNA". It matches the Rfam family "Bacterial small subunit ribosomal RNA", at positions 28 to 507 of the family's 1533-position model. The record is from RNAcentral.
GACGAACGCUGGCGGCGUGCUUAACACAUGCAAGUCGAACGGAAAGGCCCUGCUUUUGUGUGGUGCUCGAGUGGCGAACGGGUGAGUAACACGUGAGUAACCUGCCCUUGACUUUGGGAUAACUUCAGGAAACUGGGGCUAAUACCGGAUAGGAGCUCCUGCUGCAUGGUGGUGGUUGGAAAGUUUCGGCGGUUGGGGAUGGACUCGCGGCUUAUCAGCUUGUUGGUGGGGUAGUGGCUUACCAAGGCUUUGAAGGGUAGCCGGCCUGAGAGGGUGAACGGCCACAUUGGGACUGAGAUACGGACCAGACUGCUACGGGAGGCAGCAGUGGGGAAUAUUGCACAAUGGGCGGAAGCCUGAUGAAGAAACGCCGCGUGCGGGAUGAAGGCCUUCGGGUUGUAAACCGCUUUCGCCUGUGACGAAGCGUGAGUGACGGUAAUGGGUAAAGAAGCACCGGCUAACUACGUG